This is a small nucleolar RNA of Suncus etruscus (white-toothed pygmy shrew), 133 nucleotides long. RefSeq annotates it as small nucleolar RNA SNORA51. NCBI's taxonomy places the organism in Eukaryota, Metazoa, Chordata, Mammalia, Eulipotyphla, Soricidae. The transcript has a single exon. The record is from RefSeq and is a predicted model, not a curated record.
GGACUCCCAAUACUUACUACAGGCUGUGUUCUUUGCACUGACUAUAUAGAAGAGGAGGUACAGUAAAUGCUCCCCAUAUACACUUCAAACCAGGCCCUUUGCCUGGUCUGUAUUGUGAAAGGGGUAUACAAAA